AACUCAAAAUAAGCUGACAACAAAGGAACUAGUAAGAUCAGUUUUUAUGAAAUUCGUCAAAAGAAAAAAAUUUUUUCAUUCCAAAACCAAAUUUUAGAAUUGCUACAAAGAUAAUGUGGUUCACGUGAAAAUUUAAAUUGUGUGUUCCUUUGAAAAUUCGCGAUAUAUGUGUUUGUCUUAUAAUCUUAAUAUACAAGUAGAUUGAAACCACAGAAUCGAAGGAUCACUUCUUAUCAAUGAAGGAACACCACCCUACUCCAACCCUUCUCACCAUAAUGGCUUCAAAGUGAGAUCCUAAUCUAUGAAAAUUUUCAAACCCAAUGCAGAUUAACACACGAACCAUGUACUUUGAUAAUUAUUCUUAUCUCACCUCACAAAACAUACACAAGGAUGUGUUCUGUGUCUCACCUAUAGAAAACUGACUAACAAGAGUCCAUAGAUUGAAAAUAAAACUGUAGUAUUAAUAGACAAAUACUAAUGCUCGGUCGAUUCAUGUGAAAAAUAGCCAUUGGUCGCAUUCACCGAACGAAACCGUUGUGCAACUGUGUACAACACUAGCGGAAUCGUCCGGUGACAUAUACGCUACGCACUCAACACGUUCUGAAGCGGACGCCAUAUUUCGGAGAGCAUUUAAUUUGUGUUAGGUAGCAGUAGCGGAAGUGAAAUUUGUUGAAUCGACUGUGUUCUGUGAUCAAACAUCAAAUUGUAACCUUUCUUAGGAGUAUGGAGUGUAGAAGCAUUGUAUAAAUAAUAGGAUAGUAGAACAGUGACAAUUUUAAAACCAUUUGAGGCAGUUUUGCAUGCCAUCUAGUUACUUUUACGCUUGAUCUUCAUAAAAAUGACCCGUAGCUUAGUGCCAACUGAAAUAAAUAGCACUAUUUUCAACAACUAAAUUUUUUGGAAAGAUCCCAACUAAAUGUGAAAUUUUCUUUAUCUUCGAAAUUCGAACCGAAAGUACAUUGUUGCCGAUUUUACUUUUUAUUACGAAAGUGACACUAAUUACCUAUUCGAUAGGAAUCUUUACAAUAGAUAGAUAUGGCGUAUUUUGAAAUAUCAUGUUUCUAAUAAUGUUAUAGCAUGUAUUCAUCUCGAACCGAAAAUAAACUUAAUCUCAAUACUAAUUAUUUGUCACCAAUUUCAAUGUAUAAAAAAAAGAUUUUUGUAAUGAGUUCGUGUAGCACUGGCAAAUGAAACAAAUAAUUUUUCAUUAAUCUAUUAAUCACUUAAAUUUGUAUGUGAUGAAUGUAUUUUUGAAACAUUCAUAUUUUGAUGAUAUCUUGAAGAGGUGAAAAAAUAAGUCCUGGCUAUUUUGUUUGUUUUUUUUUUAACUUUCAGUUGAUUUAUAUGAUUUAUCCAUUUUCCCCUUUCUUCCUGGGAAAAUAUUUUUGAUUUUGUUCCGUUUUCGUACUGUAUUAAUAUAUUUGGUAAAAUCAAAAACAACAACUUGUAAAAAGUUCUAACUAUACUAAUAUUUUAAACGUAACGAGAUGAAAUAUACUAAAUGUAUCAUAAUACAAUAUAGUACUAAUAAUUCAAUUAAUAACUUUGUAGAAUUCUUCAAUUGUGCAAUAUGUCCUUUCUUCAAGAAAUGCCGUCGACAAUAUUCGGAACUUACUAAAUCUAUUUGUUGCUUAUAAUUCUAAAGAUACCUAGAUGAUAAUUUUUUAGCAUGAAGGUUCUAACAGGUCAGAGGUCGGUUGGGCAAUAAACAUCUUAUGGCAUUACCUAAUGCUUGGACUUUCAGUUAAAUUGUAAACAGAUGGAUUUCAAUAUAAAUAGAAUAGGAUGAGUUAAAAUUUUAUAUUUUCAAUAUAAUGUGAAGUUAUGAAGUACAUUAUGAAUAAAUUGAAAUAAAUGAAUGUAAAUAAAAAAAAUGUUAGAUUUUGGCAUAAACGUCAAGAAUCACGGAUUUUUGAUCUGAGGUAAUUGCAUCCUUCAUAUUAGAUAACUAAAUAAAACACUCUAAGUUUUAGUAAAUAAAUUUAUUAGAAAAUAUCGAACAGAAAUAUUGAAUGGAGCAACAAUAAUAACUACAUUUUUUAUGAAAUUGUUGAUAUAAAAUUAUAAUUAUAGAGUGAGCGUUUGAAAAAAUUAUCAGAAACUACAAGUAGGUCGGUCCUGUAUAUAUUCCUUGUGCAUUUUACAGCUACAACAGUUAGUGGGAAAUUCGAAUGGCCAACAAAUUGAGUAAAUUUAUUGUAAUUUUAAAACUUUUUCAAAUUCUCAAAAUGUUUGUUAAAAAGUAUGAUAGUGUUGCUUCGGAAUAUUAUUCACAUUCUAAUAUUUUUGUUUUCUGGAAAUUAUUUUUUUUAUAACCAGUACCCGACCCAUUUGGACUAUGUGUUAUCAGGAAAAUAUAUACAAAGUAGCUCUUUGUUGUUAUUACGUGAAAAUCAAACUAUUCUUGUCUUGAUGAUAUAUUUAUAUUAUAUAUUUUACAUCGUAGCUCAUACAAUACAUUCUACUACAUA
Diorhabda carinulata is the source of this 2471-nucleotide long non-coding RNA. RefSeq lists it as uncharacterized. The transcript is spliced from 3 exons. The record is from RefSeq and is a predicted model, not a curated record. NCBI's taxonomy places the organism in Eukaryota, Metazoa, Arthropoda, Insecta, Coleoptera, Chrysomelidae.